RNAcentral lists this ribosomal RNA (614 nucleotides) under uncultured bacterium. RNAcentral describes it as "bacterial SSU rRNA". It matches the Rfam family "Bacterial small subunit ribosomal RNA", at positions 61 to 721 of the family's 1533-position model. The record is from RNAcentral.
GUCGAACGCUUCAGCAAUGAAGAGUGGCAGACGGGUGAGUAACGCGUGGGAACCUUCCCAGUGGUACGGAAUAGCCCAGGGAAACUUGGGGUAAUACCGUAUAAGCCCUUAGGGGGAAAGAUUUAUCGCCAUUGGAUGGGCCCGCGUCGGAUUAGCUUGUUGGUGAGGUAAAAGCUCACCAAGGCGACGAUCCGUAGCUGGUCUGAGAGGAUGAUCAGCCACACUGGGACUGAGACACGGCCCAGACUCCUACGGGAGGCAGCAGUGGGGAAUAUUGGACAAUGGGCGCAAGCCUGAUCCAGCCAUGCCGCGUGAGUGACGAAGGCCUUAGGGUUGUAAAGCUCUUUUGGCGGGGACGAUAAUGACGGUACCCGCAGAAUAAGCUCCGGCUAACUUCGUGCCAGCAGCCGCGGUAAUACGAAGGGAGCUAGCGUUGUUCGGAAUUACUGGGCGUAAAGCGCACGUAGGCGGACUUGUUAGUCAGGGGUGAAAUCCCGGGGCCCAACCUCGGAACUGCCUUUGAUACUGCAAGUCUGGAGUCCGGAAGAGGUGGGUGGAAUUCCUAGUGUAGAGGUGAAAUUCGUAGAUAUUAGGAAGAACACCGGUGGCGAAGG